ACUCAAAUGAAUAGACGGGGGCCCGCACAAGCGGUGGAGCAUGUGGUUUAAUUCGACGCAACGCGAAAAACCUUACCAGGCCUUGACAUGCCUGUCGUCGGUCCCAGAGAUGGGACUUUCAGUUCGGCUGGACAGUGCACAGGUGCUGCAUGGCUGUCGUCAGCUCGUGUCGUGAGAUGUUGGGUUAAGUCCCGCAACGAGCGCAACCCUCCUCAUUAGUUGCCAUCAGGUUAAGCUGGGCACUCUAAUGAUACUGCCGGUGACAAGCCGGAGGAAGGCGGGGAUGACGUCAAGUCCUCAUGGCCCUUACGGCCUGGGCUACACACGUGCUACAAUGGCGGUGACAGUGGGGAGCAAUACAGCAAUGUGGAGCCAAUCCCAAAAAGCCGUCUCAGUUCGGAUUGUACUCUGCAACUCGAGUACAUGAAGUUGGAAUCGCUAGUAAUCGUGGAUCAGCAUGCCACGGUGAAUACGUUCCCGGGCCUUGCACACACCGCCCGU
This 501-nucleotide ribosomal RNA is filed under the name uncultured bacterium. RNAcentral describes it as "partial 16S ribosomal RNA". It matches the Rfam family "Bacterial small subunit ribosomal RNA", at positions 899 to 1397 of the family's 1533-position model. The record is from RNAcentral.